AAUUUUUUAGCUCACCUGGCCCGAAGGGCCAAGUGAGCUUUUCUCAUCACUUGGCGUCCGUCGUCCGUCGUCCGUCGUCGUCCGUCGUCGUCCGUCAUCUGCGUAAACUUUUUACAUUUUGAACUUCUUCUAGAGAACCACUGAAUGGAAUGAAACCAAACAUGGCAUGAAUGUUCCUUAUGAGGUGCUGACCAAGUGUUGUUACUUUGUAGCCGAUCCAUCAUCCAAGAUGGCCACCAGCGGGGGACUUAGUUUAACAAAGGACCCUAUGGGAAAUGCAUACAAAUGACUUCUUUUAGAGAACCACUGAAUGGAAUGAAACCAAACAUGGCAUGAAUGUUUCUUAUGAGGUGCUGACCGAGUGUUGUUACUUUGAAGCCGAUCCAUAAUCCAAGAUGGCAGCCAGCGGGGGACUUAGUUUAACAAAGGACCCUAUGGGAAAUGCAUACAAAUGUCUUCUUUUAGAGAACCACUGAAUGGAAUGAAACAAAACAUAGCAUGAAUGUUCAUUAGGAGGUGCUGACCAAGUGUUGUUACUUUGUAGCCGAUCCAUCAUCCAAGAUGGCCGCCAGCGGGGGACUUAGUUUAACAUAGGACCCUAUGGGAAAUGCAUACAAAUGACUUCUUUUAGAGAACCACUGAAUGGAAUGAAACAAAACAUAGCAUGAAUGUUCCUUACAAGGUGCUGACCAAGUGUUGUUACUUUGUAGCCGUUCCAUCAUCCAAAAUGGCCGCCAGUGAGGGACUUAGUUUAACAUAGGACCCUAUGAGAAAUACAUACAAAUGUCUUCUUUUAGAGAACCACUGAAUGGAAUGAAACCUAACAUGGCAAGAAUGUUCCUUAUGAGGUGCUGACCAAGUGUUGUUACUUUGAAGCCGAUCCAUCAUCCAAGAUGGCAACCAGUGGGGGACUUAGUUUAACAUAGGAUCCUAUGGGAAAUACAUACAAAUGUUUUCUUUUAGAGAACCACUGAAUGCAAUGAAACCAAACAUGGCAUGAAUGUUCCUUAUGAGGUGCUGACCGAGUGUUGUUACUUUGAAGCCGAUCCAUAAUCCAAGAUGGCCGCCAGCGGGGGACUUAGUUUAACAUGGGACCCUAUGGGAAAUACAUACAAACGUCUUCUUUUAGAGAACCACUGAAUGGAAUGAAACAAAACAUAGCAUGAAUGUUCAUUAGGAGGUGCUGACCAAGUGUUGUUACUUUGUAGCCGAUCCAUCAUCCAAGAUGGCCGCCAGCGGGGGACUUAGUUUAACAUAGGACCCUAUGGGAAAUGCAUACAAAUGACUUCUUUUAGAGAACCACUGAAUGGAAUGAAACAAAACAUAGCAUGAAUGUUCCUUACAAGGUGCUGACCAAGUGUUGUUACUUUGUAGCCAUUCCAUCAUCCAAAAUGGCCGCCAGCGAGGGACAUAGUUUAACAUAGGACCCUAUGGGAAAGGCAUACAAAUGACUUCUUUUAGAGAACCACUGAAUGGAAUGAAACAAAACAUAGCAUGAAUGUUCAUUAGGAGGUGCUGACCAAGUGUUGUUACUUUGUAGCCGAUCCAUCAUCCAAGAUGGCCGCCAGCGGGGGACUUAGUUUAACAUAGGACCCUAUGGGAAAUGCAUACAAAUGACUUCUUUUAGAGAACCACUGAAUGGAAUGAAACAAAACAUAGCAUGAAUGUUCCUUACAAGGUGCUGACCAAGUGUUGUUACUUUGUAGCCGUUCCAUCAUCCAAAAUGGCCGCCAGUGAGGGACUUAGUUUAACAUAGGACCCUAUGAGAAAUACAUACAAAUGUCUUCUUUUAGAGAACCACUGAAUGGAAUGAAACCUAACAUGGCAAGAAUGUUCCUUAUGAGGUGCUGACCAAGUGUUGUUACUUUGAAGCCGAUCCAUCAUCCAAGAUGGCAACCAGCGGGGGACUUAGUUUAACAUAGGAUCCUAUGGGAAAUACAUACAAAUGUUUUCUUUUAGAGAACCACUGAAUGCAAUGAAACCAAACAUGGCAUGAAUGUUCCUUAUGAAGUGCUGACCGAGUGUUGUUACUUUGAAGCCGAUCCAUAAUCCAAGAUGGCCGCCAGCGGGGGACUUAGUUUAACAUGGGACCCUAUGGGAAAUACAUACAAACGUCUUCUUUUAGAGAACCACUGAAUGGAAUGAAACCAAACAUGGCAAGAAUGUUCCUUAUGAGGUGCUGACCAAGUGUUGUUACUUUGAAGCCGAUCCAUCAACCAAGAUGGCAGCCAGCGGGGGACUUAGUUUAACAUAGGAUCCUAUGGGAAAUACAUACAAAUGUUUUCUUUUAGAGAACCACUGAAUGGAAUGAAACCAAACAUGGCAUGAAUGUUCCUUAUGAGGUGCUGACCAAGUGUUGUUACUUUGUAGCCGAUCCAUCAUCCAAGAUGGCCGCCAGCGGGGGACUUAGUUUAACAAAGGACCCUAUGGGAAAUGCAUACAAAUGACUUCUUUUAGAGAACCACUGAAUGGAAUGAAACCAAACAUGGCAUGAAUGUUUCUUAUGAGGUGCUGACCGAGUGUUGUUACUUUGAAGCCGAUCCAUAAUCCAAGAUGGCAGCCAGCGGGGGACUUAGUUUAACAAAGGACCCUAUGGGAAAUGCAUACAAAUGUCUUCUUUUAGAGAACCACUGAAUGGAAUGAAACAAAACAUAGCAUGAAUGUUCAUUAGGAGGUGCUGACCAAGUGUUGUUACUUUGUAGCCGUUCCAUCAUCCAAAAUGGCCGCCAGUGAGGGACUUAGUUUAACAUAGGACCCUAUGAGAAAUACAUACAAAUGUCUUCUUUUAGAGAACCACUGAAUGGAAUGAAACCUAACAUGGCAAGAAUGUUCCUUAUGAGGUGCUGACCAAGUGUUGUUACUUUGAAGCCGAUCCAUCAUCCAAGAUGGCAACCAGCGGGGGACUUAGUUUAACAUAGGAUCCUAUGGGAAAUACAUACAAAUGUUUUCUUUUAGAGAACCACUGAAUGCAAUGAAACCAAACAUGGCAUGAAUGUUCCUUAUGAGGUGCUGACCGAGUGUUGUUACUUUGAAGCCGAUCCAUAAUCCAAGAUGGCCGCCAGCGGGGGACUUAGUUUAACAUGGGACCCUAUGGGAAAUACAUACAAACGUCUUCUUUUAGAGAACCACUGAAUGGAAUGAAACCAAACAUGGCAAGAAUGUUCCUUAUGAGGUGCUGACCAAGUGUUGUUACUUUGAAGCCGAUCCAUCAACCAAGAUGGCAGCCAGCGGGGGACUUAGUUUAACAUAGGAUCCUAUGGGAAAUACAUACAAAUGUUUUCUUUUAGAGAACCACUGAAUGGAAUGAAACCAAACAUGGCAUGAAUGUUCCUUAUGAGGUGCUGACCAAGUGUUGUUACUUUGUAGCCGAUCCAUCAUCCAAGAUGGCCGCCAGCGGGGGACUUAGUUUAACAAAGGACCCUAUGGGAAAUGCAUACAAAUGACUUCUUUUAGAGAACCACUGAAUGGAAUGAAACCAAACAUGGCAUGAAUGUUUCUUAUGAGGUGCUGACCGAGUGUUGUUACUUUGAAGCCGAUCCAUAAUCCAAGAUGGCAGCCAGCGGGGGACUUAGUUUAACAAAGGACCCUAUGGGAAAUGCAUACAAAUGUCUUCUUUUAGAGAACCACUGAAUGGAAUGAAACAAAACAUAGCAUGAAUGUUCAUUAGGAGGUGCUGACCAAGUGUUGUUACUUUGUAGCCGUUCCAUC
Mytilus californianus (California mussel) is the source of this 3708-nucleotide long non-coding RNA. RefSeq lists it as uncharacterized. The transcript is spliced from 5 exons. Lineage: Eukaryota; Metazoa; Mollusca; Bivalvia; Mytilida; Mytilidae. The record is from RefSeq and is a predicted model, not a curated record.